UACGAAGGGGGCUAGCGUUGCUCGGAAUUACUGGGCGUAAAGCGCGCGUAGGCGGGUCGUUAAGUCGGGGGUGAAAUCCUGGAGCUCAACUCCAGAACUGCCUUCGAUACUGGCGAUCUUGAGUCCGGGAGAGGUGAGUGGAACUCCGAGUGUAGAGGUGAAAUUCGUAGAUAUUCGGAAGAACACCAGUGGCGAAGGCGGCUCACUGGCCCGGUACUGACGCUGAGGUGCGAAAGCGUGGGGAGCGAACAGG
RNAcentral lists this ribosomal RNA (253 nucleotides) under uncultured bacterium. Its description in RNAcentral is "partial 16S ribosomal RNA". It matches the Rfam family "Bacterial small subunit ribosomal RNA", at positions 524 to 776 of the family's 1533-position model. The record is from RNAcentral.